UUCACCAUUAUGCUGUAGCUGCUCUGAUUCACACUAGAGCUCCAGUUCAUGUGUGUGUUGACCCAGUCAAUGCCAUACGUCAAGCUCACAGCUGAGCUUCAUUUUGUGCGAUGCAAUUGCUCAGGGCUGUGUAUACUUGCUGUAGGGUUUUUGUAAAAGGAGGAAAAAACUAGUUUUAACUAUGUUUCAGCUUCUUGCCUAAUUCAGAGUUAAGAGUAUGAGUUGACUAGGAAGGUGUAUGGACAGAGUACCUAAGAAAAAUGUAAUCAAGGUAGGGAGUUGGAUAUUGCUUUUCUGUUUCUACCACAGGAAAACAUAUACCUAUCUCUGAAGAUGUAGUUUUUUUUCAAACAAUAUUUUGUUUUUUUUUCAAGAAUUACAUACUUGCAUAUAAGCAACAGGAGAGAAAAUUGCAAUUAGAGUUCCGACAUAAUUAUCCAUGCAGACAAUUGUAAAACAUGUAGCUGUUCCUUGUGUCUUUUUGAGAUUGUUCUGGAUGUGUCCAGAAGCAGCAGGGACCCUAGGGAUGUUUUUCCAUGGUUGAAUGGGGUGGGGCCAUGCUCCUAGGGCAGCUGCAUUUAAUUCAAUUGAGAAAACACUUGUGGAGUUGCAGCUUUAUCUGUUACUCUCCAUUGUCCACAAAUAGCUUUGGAAAAGCUCUUACAUUGUUAGAGUUGGCUUUUGUGUGAUGUGUUAGAAGAUAAGCAAUGCAGAAGACACUGGAUUUUUUCCUCUUAGAAGCAGGCAUGACAGCAGCUACAUUCAGUCCGGAGGUGAGACCACAACCACCACACCACAAACCAUCCUGGGACUCUAGCGUAUUGCCUCAGAGGGCAAUAACCAGACAACAGUAGAGAUGGAAAUUGGAAGAUUAAGAAACUUACUUAUAAAGAAGAAGAGUAAAACAAAUAUCCAGAAAUGCUUGGAGACUUUAGACAAUUAAAAGGAGAAAAAAUGCCUGGCAUACUCCGAAGAGGGAUUAUCAGGAAUGAUUGCAGCACCAGCCCACAGCUCAUAUGAAGUUAACCAUUGCAUGAUUGGAAAACUCCUGUGCUGCAAAGUUGCAUCACUAAUCAAUCACUCCGUCAACUCCAAUUGUAUGCUGAAACCUCUACUUUCCUUCAUCUUCUGUGUAAAUAUAUUUCUUUUUCUUCCCUCUGCUGGAGAGGUUUGAAGUCUGAAGUAAUAAAGAGAACAAAUUAUGAUUGAGAACUUAUGAA
This 1220-nucleotide long non-coding RNA is filed under the name Numida meleagris (helmeted guineafowl). RNAcentral's name for it is "lncRNA (ENSNMEG00000010853.1)". Lineage: Eukaryota; Metazoa; Chordata; Aves; Galliformes; Numididae. The record is from RNAcentral.